ACGGGAGGCAGCAGUGGGGAAUAUUGGACAAUGGGGGAAACCCUGAUCCAGCGACGCCGCGUGAGUGAAGAAGUAUUUCGGUAUGUAAAGCUCUAUCAGCAAGGAAGAAAAUGACGGUACUUGACUAAGAAGCCCCGGCUAACUACGUGCCAGCAGCCGCGGUAAUACGUAGGGGGCAAGCGUUAUCCGGAUUUACUGGGUGUAAAGGGAGCGUAGACGGCAUAGCAAGUCUGAAGUGAAAUGCAUGGGCUCAACCCAUGAACUGCUUUGGAAACUGUUAAGCUAGAGUGCAGGAGAGGUAAGUGGAAUUCCUAGUGUAGCGGUGAAAUGCGCAGAUAUUAGGAGGAACACCAGUGGCGAAGGCGGCUUACUGGACUGUAACUGACGUUGAGGCUCGAAAGCGUGGGGAGCAAACAGGAUUAGAUACCCUGGUA
RNAcentral lists this ribosomal RNA (434 nucleotides) under uncultured Lachnospiraceae bacterium. RNAcentral's name for it is "bacterial SSU rRNA". It matches the Rfam family "Bacterial small subunit ribosomal RNA", at positions 341 to 792 of the family's 1533-position model. The record is from RNAcentral. Lineage: Bacteria; Bacillati; Bacillota; Clostridia; Lachnospirales; Lachnospiraceae.